Molecule: non-coding RNA, 418 nt
Organism: Streptomyces swartbergensis
Lineage: Bacteria; Bacillati; Actinomycetota; Actinomycetes; Kitasatosporales; Streptomycetaceae
Rfam family: Bacterial RNase P class A
About the family: Ribonuclease P (RNase P) is a ubiquitous endoribonuclease, found in archaea, bacteria and eukarya as well as chloroplasts and mitochondria. Its best characterised activity is the generation of mature 5'-ends of tRNAs by cleaving the 5'-leader elements of precursor-tRNAs. Cellular RNase Ps are ribonucleoproteins.
Source: Rfam
CGAGCCGGGCGGACGGCCGCGUGGAGUCCCCCUGACGGGGAGCUUCCCGAGGAACGUCCGGGCUCCACAGGGCAGGGUGGUGGCUAACGGCCACCCGGGGUGACCCGCGGGACAGUGCCACAGAAAGCAAACCGCCGAGGGCUCCGGCCCUCGGUAAGGGUGAAACGGUGGUGUAAGAGACCACCAGUGCCUGGGGUGACUCAGGCAGCUAGGUAAACCCCACCCGGAGCAAGGUCAAAAGGGAGCGCCUUCUGGGACACGAAGGUGCUCCUGCGCGGACGCUCGAGGGCUGCCCGCCCGAGUCCGCGGGUAGACCGCACGAGGCCGGUGGCAACGCCGGCCCUAGAUGGAUGGCCGUCGCCCGGGGCUCCGCGAGGAACUCCGGGAACAGAACCCGGCGUACAGCCCGACUCGUCUG